CCUCAGUGACUAGUGGAGGUAAAUCACAGGUUGUGCCCUUGUUGGUUCCCAAGUUCCCACAUGGCUUUUACUCCUUCCCCAAAGGGACCCUCCUCCAUGGUUAUUACAUCACCAAGCUGCUCCAACUUUUCCUCUGGUUAUUACAUCACUUGGCUGCUCCAACCAGGAAUCGAACUCCCCACACUUGGUUCCAGAGCCCCCCAAUGUGAUUGUUCCGCCAACUUGGAUGUGCCCUGGGGGGCG
RNAcentral lists this long non-coding RNA (243 nucleotides) under Olea europaea (common olive). Its description in RNAcentral is "long non-coding RNA (OEUR_LNC008666)". The record is from RNAcentral. Lineage: Eukaryota; Viridiplantae; Streptophyta; Magnoliopsida; Lamiales; Oleaceae.